UGCCAGCAGCCGCGGUAAUACGAAGGGUGCUAGCGUUGUUCGGAAUUACUGGGCGUAAAGAGCAUGUAGGCGGCUUUGUAAGUCGGAUGUGAAAGCCCUGGGCUCAACCUGGGAAUUGCAUUCGAUACUGCAGAGCUAGAGUAUGGUAGAGGGAAGUGGAAUUUCCGGUGUAGCGGUGAAAUGCGUAGAUAUCGGAAGGAACAUCAGUGGCGAAGGCGGCUUCCUGGACUGAUAUUGACGCUGAGGUGCGAAAGCGUGGGGAGCAAACAGGAUUAGAUA
RNAcentral lists this ribosomal RNA (279 nucleotides) under uncultured bacterium. Its description in RNAcentral is "partial 16S ribosomal RNA". It matches the Rfam family "Bacterial small subunit ribosomal RNA", at positions 506 to 784 of the family's 1533-position model. The record is from RNAcentral.